RNAcentral lists this ribosomal RNA (269 nucleotides) under uncultured bacterium. RNAcentral describes it as "partial 16S ribosomal RNA". It matches the Rfam family "Bacterial small subunit ribosomal RNA", at positions 85 to 353 of the family's 1533-position model. The record is from RNAcentral.
UAGAUGGCGACCGGCGCACGGGUGAGUAACACGUAUCCAACCUGCCGAUGACUCGGGGAUAGCCUUUCGAAAGAAAGAUUAAUACCCGAUGGCAUAGUUCUUCCGCAUGGUGGAACUAUUAAAGAAUUUCGGUCAUCGAUGGGGAUGCGUUCCAUUAGGUUGUUGGCGGGGUAACGGCCCACCAAGCCUUCGAUGGAUAGGGGUUCUGAGAGGAAGGUCCCCCACAUUGGAACUGAGACACGGUCCAAACUCCUACGGGAGGCAGCAUG